GACGAACGCUGGCGGCGUGCUUAACACAUGCAAGUCGAACGGUAAGGCCCUUCGGGGUACACGAGUGGCGAAUGGGUGAGUAGCACGUGGGUGAUCUGCCCUGCACUUCGGGAUAAGCCUGGGAAACUGGGUCUAAUACCGGAUAGGACUUCUGGCUUCAUGGUUGGGGGUGGAAAGCUUUUGCGGUGUGGGAUGGGCCCGCGGCCUAUCAGCUUGUUGGUGGGGUAAUGGCCUACCAAGGCGACGACGGGUAGCCGGCCUGAGAGGGUGACCGGUCACACUGGGACUGAGAUACGGCCCAGACUCCUACGGGAGGCAGCAGUGGGGAAUAUUGCACAAUGGGCGCAAGCCUGAUGCAGCGACGCCGCGUGAGGGAUGACGGCCUUCGGGUUGUAAACCUCUUUCAGCUAUGACGAAGCGCAAGUGACGGUAGUAGCAGAAGAAGGACCGGCCAACUACGUGCCAGCCGCCGCGGUAA
Molecule: ribosomal RNA, 478 nt
Filed under: uncultured bacterium
Lineage: Bacteria
Description: partial 16S ribosomal RNA
Rfam family: Bacterial small subunit ribosomal RNA
Source: RNAcentral